GUUGAGGGCACCGUGUACCCUCUGUAUUAUUUGGUUCGGUCUCGCAUCCUCUUGGGGAACGUUUCUGGACUUUAUUGGACAGGGCGAGAUUCAAGACUUUUACUUUGAGGAAAUUAGAGUGUUCACGGCAGGCAAGCGCUUUGAAUACAUUAGCAUGGAAUAAUAAUAUAGGACCUUCGUUCUAUUUUGUUGGUUUCUAGAACUUAGGUAAUGAUUAAUAGGGACAAUUGGGGGCAUUCGUAUUAACGCGUCAGAGGUGGAAUUCUUGGAUUGCGUUACGACGAACUACUGCGAAAGCAUUUGCCAAAGAUGUUUUCAUUGAUCAAGAACGAAAGUAUGGGGAUCGAAGACGCUUAGAUACCGUCGUAGUCUAUACCCAUAAACUAUGCCCAACUAGAGAUUGGUGGGGUUCUCCCUAUUUGGCU
This 425-nucleotide ribosomal RNA is filed under the name uncultured marine eukaryote. Its description in RNAcentral is "SSU rRNA". It matches the Rfam family "Eukaryotic small subunit ribosomal RNA", at positions 653 to 1077 of the family's 1831-position model. The record is from RNAcentral.